GACGAACGCUGGCGGCGUGCUUAACACAUGCAAGUCGAGCGGUAAGGCCCUUUCGGGGUACGACGAGCGGCGAACGGGUGAGUAACACGUGGGUGACCUGCCCUCCAGCUCUGGGAGUAAGCCUGGGAAACCGGGUCGUAAUACCGGAUAUGACUCCAUGACGCAUGUUGUGGGGUGGAAAGCCUUGUGCGGCUGAGGAUGGGCCCGCGGCCUAUCAGCUUGUUGGUGGGGUGAUGGCCUACCAAGGCGACGACGGGUAGCCGGCCUGAGAGGGCGACCGGCCACACUGGGACUGAGACACGGCCCAGACUCCUACGGGAGGCAGCA
RNAcentral lists this ribosomal RNA (327 nucleotides) under uncultured bacterium. RNAcentral describes it as "bacterial SSU rRNA". It matches the Rfam family "Bacterial small subunit ribosomal RNA", at positions 28 to 353 of the family's 1533-position model. The record is from RNAcentral.